Long non-coding RNA from Daphnia pulicaria, 530 nucleotides. RefSeq lists it as uncharacterized. The transcript has 2 exons. NCBI's taxonomy places the organism in Eukaryota, Metazoa, Arthropoda, Branchiopoda, Diplostraca, Daphniidae. The record is from RefSeq and is a predicted model, not a curated record.
GAAAAAUUCUAUGUUGCUUUAUAGUUGUCGGACAUAUUUUAUCGGCUGCAUUGUGUCUAUAUGUUAUUUUCUGCUACCUGUACCGGCGUUGAGUCAAUCGCUCGCCGCCGUUCCAUUGCUGAAACUGAAGAGACUGCUGAAAUUCAAGAGACUGCUGAAAUUUAAAAACUGAUAAAUUAUGUAGUUGAUUUUAAGUGUAUACCUGACUUCUUCUCUCCCCAUUUUCUUUAGUAAACAGUAACCAACCUCCCCCCUCCUUCUAGCUGGUUAAUCACCCGAUGUGAUAAUGCGGAAAUAAUAAUGUGGGAAAUUUGGAGGGCUAUGAGGGAAAGUCUUCUAUGAUAAUUUGCUCCCUUAAUAUUUGUUUCAGAACUCCACUUUUACAAUUAUACAAGUUUUGUCUUAUAAUUAAUUGCUCCCUCAACAAUCCUAUAUCUGCAAACUGUUGUCCUACAAAACCUUACCUUAUAUAACUAAAUACUAAUAAAAAAUAAACCCACAACAAAUAAAACCGUAAAUGGAAAAAUUUA